CACGUAGGCGGUUUUUUAAGUCAGAUGUGAAAGCCCCGGGCUCAACCUGGGAAUUGCAUUUGAAACUGGAAAACUAGAGUGUGUGAGAGGGGGGUAGAAUUCCAAGUGUAGCGGUGAAAUGCGUAGAGAUUUGGAGGAAUACCAGUGGCGAAGGCGGCCCCCUGGCACAACACUGACGCUCAGGUGCGAAAGCGUGGGGAGCAAACA
Molecule: ribosomal RNA, 207 nt
Filed under: uncultured bacterium
Lineage: Bacteria
Description: partial 16S ribosomal RNA
Rfam family: Bacterial small subunit ribosomal RNA
Source: RNAcentral